AUACGUAGGGGGCGAGCGUUGUCCGGAAUGAUUGGGCGUAAAGGGCGCGUAGGCGGCCCGGUAAGUCUGGAGUGAAAGUCCUGUUUUUAAGAUGGGAAUUGCUUUGGAUACUGUCGGGCUUGAGUGCAGGAGAGGUAAGUGGAAUUCCCAGUGUAGCGGUGAAAUGCGUAGAGAUUGGGAGGAACACCAGUGGCGAAGGCGACUUACUGGACUGUAACUGACGCUGAGGCGCGAAAGUGUGGGGAGCAAACAGGAUUAGAUACCCUGGUAGUCCACACUGUAAACGAUGAAUGCUAGGUGUAGGGGGUAUCGACCCCUUCUGUGCCGCAGUCAACACAAUAAGCAUUCCGCCUGGGGAGUACGGCCGCUAGGUUGAAACUCAAAGGAAUUGACGGGG
Molecule: ribosomal RNA, 397 nt
Filed under: uncultured bacterium
Lineage: Bacteria
Description: partial 16S ribosomal RNA
Rfam family: Bacterial small subunit ribosomal RNA
Source: RNAcentral